This is a long non-coding RNA of Varroa destructor (honeybee mite), 2714 nucleotides long. The record is from RefSeq and is a predicted model, not a curated record. Lineage: Eukaryota; Metazoa; Arthropoda; Arachnida; Mesostigmata; Varroidae.
AAACUUUCAACGUCUACUGCAAAGCUGCAGGUCACUGGCCUGAUUGUCAAGUGGAUUGUUCUAACCUGUAAUGGCCACCCACCCGCACUAAUCAGAGCGGUGUUGUGGCCAGAAUUUUCCUGAUUCAAAUUCUGACCAGGGAAAUACUUCCUGUAUGUAAUCGAAAUAGUAUUUUCCCCAGAUAACAAUUAAGGCUUUUGCUUGUAGUAAUAAUCAGCAUAAAACAGUCCUAACCGUACUCAGCUGUCAAAGUUGAUUCUAAUCUGUCACAGGUGCCCUAAUUCUACGCUUUACAAUUGAACACACGAAUCAGAAUAAGACAAAUGCCGUAGAGCCAUACGAUAAAUCCAAUUCGCUCUCUGAAAACCUCGAUGUCGACUACGAAGCUCAAAUGAAGUUACGUUUACGGAAGUCCGUGGGGCGCAUUACAAGAAUGGCGUUAACAUACAAUGGAGGCAUACAAUCGAACCGCUAAAAAACUAGGUCCUUAUCAUCAAAUAUUGAAAAGACAACUGCCGAACAACUGUAACCCUUAUUUCAUUACUUAUUCAAAUCCGAUUAAUAUUUAGCACUACAAAUGCCGUUCCACCUCUAUAAACACAUAUACAAGCUCCUUAUCAUAAGCCAUUAGUCUUCCAAUAAUCGGUAACGUGUUGAUAAGGUAAAAGUUCGAAGAUUCCGUAAUAAGUACUUAGCGUGAAUGAGGCUAGAUUAAUAACAGACACCUCUGUACGAAAUGCAUUAUCUUCGCCAUUUUACAAUCUUUACGUUUAUAACAUACGUGGCGCUUCGUGAAAUACCGAUUAUAUCCUUCCUAGUAAAGUUCUCUCUGUUAGGACAAACAUUCGAAAUAUACGGGUAUCCGCAGUUGCUGCUUGGCUUAUCGUUCUAAAAUAUGGGUGAUUUAAGUAACGUGGAACGCCUACGCUUCUAUGCGCUUUUACAUUUUAACUAAUCAAUUUUUCACAGCGAUGCGCCACAAGCUAUGCUGAGGUAGCGCCUCGGCAAUAUAGAUCGGUUGUUGAUCAGUCCCAUCUCUGAUUCAUUAAAUACUAAUAAUAUAACGUUCUUUGAAGUUUAAAAUGAAGUUUGUUCCGCGAGUUCACAAUUUGCCGGUAUUGUUUGUUGGGCUUCAGAACAGUUUGCUGGUUUGCGCGGGCUAACAGCGAUAUCAAUACAUGGUCUCGCCUGACAGCGGUUUUACGGAAAAAAGUACAUCAUCCAAUUACGAAUUUAAGGACGCGUGACAAACGCACCCAAAUGACUGGCUUAUAGGAUGAAUAAUAUAACGUAACAACGAUGCUGUAAUAUGGACUGAAGCUUUGCUACAGGUGCAUUUCGCGACGGCACUUGAGCUUAAGCGCACUCAGUGAUUUUCGAAAUUGGGACUCCCAUAUGCCCACUCGUAUAAAUCAGAUAGCAUCACGUUCCGUGAAAUGCAACCCAACCCGUCUCUAGGUGGCGCUACUACAAAACGCCCGGCGUCGCUUUGUAACAGCCAAGGCAGACCCUCGAUGCUUUCGCACGUGCUGACGAAACACGCCCUUGCUCUCUGCUAAACAAGGCAUUUUGCCUCAACGUGGCGAUUACAAGCAUGGCAGCUCUAUAUCAUUAAAAGUGAGUGUGGGCCUUCAAUCGAUACUCUGUCUAAUUUCCCAGCGGUUCACACGGUGUGCUGGCACCCCUGCGGCACCCCACACGCCCUCCUAAGUAGAGCUGACGACGGACAAUCGGCACUGGUUCUGUCUAUUUCCACAUGUCUACUCUAUUACCAUGAGCUCCUGUCAGCCAAUUUGUGCCUUUAGCUAUGUCAAACCCCGCGUCUGCUUCGACAGGAGCCUUUCGAGAACCGCCUCGGUCUUGCGUGAAGUGCCCGCCAUGAGCUGGCCCACACGCCCCACGCCGAGAGAAGGACGGAGAAAUACAACACGAAACGUAGGAGAACCAUAAGAGAAAAAAGAACGACGGACUGGGAAAGAAAAUUGACUAGUACUCAUAUCUUCUCGUACGCGCCAGAACAAGAAAGCGCAACUAACCUACUUAGACGGCCACGAAAGGCUGCCGGGCCGCAUGACCCUGGACAGUAUUGAGGUUAAGGCCAAUUCGGGUUUUUAAGGUGGUAAAAGCUUAUUCUGAGAAAGCCCUGCAUUUCGAGCACGAUGGCUCGUAGCAGUAGCAUUUUGCCUCCAAAUCUGACGUGAUCAUAGACCCAGGUGACGUUUGGAAUACAAGUUCCUCGCUCUGAAUGAGAGAGAGAGCGUUACUCCUGCUCUUUCUCUGAGCAAUCAAAAACAACGUGAGAACAGCAUGUGAACAAGAGGAGCAACCAGCACUAAUACAGAAUGCUACGACGGCCUGUCCUGUCGCCCUCGAAAACCUUGUAUCUGAUAUAGAUUCAGUUGAAAGCAAUAGAGUUCGAAGGUGGACGCGGGUUGUCCCUUGAUUCGUAACUGGUUGUCUACGGUGGUGGUAACUACGACGACAGAAAUGGCCGAUACUUUUGAGGUACCUAUAUGAGGCCGCCGACGUUCGGGGCCUGCCGUAAGGAUAUCGACAAUUGACAUCGGCAACCACGACAAUCUAAAAAUGAAGGACGAGUCAAAAGUCUUGUGCAGACGCCCAUGGGCGAAGCUAUCACGCAGAUUCGAUUAGAGCGGGACACAAAGAGAGAAACAUUAAUCGAUUCCGAAUGCGGUUACUGUGUUCAGGGUGAG